RNAcentral lists this ribosomal RNA (494 nucleotides) under uncultured bacterium. RNAcentral describes it as "partial 16S ribosomal RNA". It matches the Rfam family "Bacterial small subunit ribosomal RNA", at positions 28 to 507 of the family's 1533-position model. The record is from RNAcentral.
GACGAACGCUGGCGGCGUGCUUAACACAUGCAAGUCGAACGGAAAGGCCUGCUUUCCCUUGUGGAUUUCGGGUACUCGAGUGGCGAACGGGUGAGUAACACGUGAGUGAUCUGCCCCCAACUUGGGUAUAAGCCUGGGAAACUGGGUCUAAUUCCCGAUAGGACUGCAGGGUGGUGCCUGUGGUGGAAAACGAUCUUCUAGUGGUUGGGGAUGAGCUCGCGGCCUAUCAGCUUGUUGGUGGGGUAAUGGACUACCAAGGCGGAGACGGGUAGCCGGCCUGGGAGGGUGGACGGCCACAUUGGGACUGAGAUACGGCCCAGACUCCUACGGGAGGCAGCAGUGGGGAAGAUUGCACAAUGGGCGGAAGCCUGAUGCAGCGACGCCGCGUGGGGGAUGACGGCCUUCGGGUUGUAAACUCCUUUCGACCGCGAGGAAGCCACCUGGUUGGAAGGGUGGUGACGGUAGUGGUAGAAGAAGCACCGGCUAACUACGUG